UCGUGCUAGACGGGGAGCUAGCGGUGCCCUGUACCCGCAAUCCGCUAUAGCGGGGUCGAAUUCCCCCUCGAGGGCUGGUGUGCGCUGGGACUGCAGGGUUAAGCGGCGUUGAAGGCUGGGUCCCGCGCAGCAGGGGCCCGCGAACCCCGCCAGGUCCGGAAGGAAGCAACGGUAAGCGGUCACCCCUGGGUGCCGCGGGGGUGCCUGGCCCGAGCUGGCUGGCCCUGUAAGCUGGCGUACGCGGUUCGACAGGGGGUGCACGA
RNAcentral lists this signal recognition particle RNA (263 nucleotides) under Caldilineae bacterium. RNAcentral describes it as "signal recognition particle sRNA large type". It matches the Rfam family "Bacterial large signal recognition particle RNA". From Rfam's summary of the family: The signal recognition particle (SRP) is a universally conserved ribonucleoprotein involved in the co-translational targeting of proteins to membranes. Lineage: Bacteria; Bacillati; Chloroflexota; Caldilineae. The record is from RNAcentral.